This 270-nucleotide ribosomal RNA is filed under the name uncultured prokaryote. RNAcentral describes it as "partial 16S ribosomal RNA". It matches the Rfam family "Bacterial small subunit ribosomal RNA", at positions 524 to 794 of the family's 1533-position model. The record is from RNAcentral.
UACAUAGGGGCGAGCGUUAUCCGGAAUUAUUGGGCGUAAAGGGUACGUAGGCGGGCUUGCAAGUCUGAUUUGAAAGCACAUGGCUUAACCAUGUGAGGUAAUUAGAAACUACGAGUCUAGAGAGUGGUAGAGGUAAAUGGAAUUCCAAGUGGAGCGGUGAAAUGCGUAGAGAUUUGGAGGAACACCAGUGGCGAAGGCGGUUUACUGGGCCACAUCUGACGCUGAUGUACGAAAGCGUGGGGAGCAAACAGGAUUAGAUACCCUGGUAGU